CUUAGGUAGUUUUGGAAUAUAUCAUUGGGUGAAUAUACCAUGGUGUGAAUCCUGGGCUCUGUCUGCUAUCCAUCUGCAGCCCCACCACCAGUCUUGAAAACAGAAUGUGAUGAGAAGUCAACUCAAAAAUCAGGACUCAUAACAUCAAUCCAUGCCUUUGGGUUCCUAGAAGAGAAGUAACGUAGCAUUGAAGAUCGAAGAAGGUCACCAUAAGGAAAAAUUCCCAAAGCAAAAAACAAGCUUUGUGUACCACCAUUCCAUCCUGUGCAUCCGAGGUACACUGGGUCUGGCAUAAAUUACCUCCUCAAUUAAUAAAUAAAUCUCUGUAAAUAAAUAGUAACUCUAGGAAUAGUUAUACGAUUUAUUUUUAUAUAUUCAUUCCUAAUGUUGACAAGGAUCUAAUUCACUUAAAAUUUAGUCCAUAUUACAUUAUCAAAUUUAAAAAAGAAGACUAAAGCUUAAUACACCCAAUGCAUUCUUGCCCUUCAAUGAAAAUAUUUCCUAGUUUUGAAAUGAAAAACUAAUAAAUUUAAGUAAAAAACAUAACCUAUAAAAUCAAAUGUUCUAAUCUACCUCUUACAUUCAGAAGCUUGGAGAGUGAGUUUUUAGUGCUUGAAAAUAGGAAAUCAGUCCCUAAUAAUUCUCUAAGGGAUCAUGGGAACCAACACAUCCAGGUCUCUCAAUGGGAAAUAACUCUGAAUUAAGCGCUAACAAAAACAGCACCUAACCAAUUUAAGUUUAACAUGAGAGGCAGGAUUAGCAAUUACGGAAAACAUACAAAAGUGGCAAAGGAGAUGAUAGUUUAGAAAAAAACUACACGGCUAGAUGUCUACCAAUUCCAGUCAACCUAGAAGCUUUCUCCCCAAGCCUGCUUUCACUCUGAAGGAUGUAAGUAGGGACUGGCUAUAAAAAUUGCUAGUUGCCUGGAGGCUUCAUCUGGAAUGACAUGAAUCUCAUGUAUCAGCCAAAUUAUACUCUGCUUUGAAUUCAUAAAAUUUGUUUUCAUAAUGUGAUAAAAUUUUGAGUUCUGUCUCCAACUGUUGAAUGGACACCACCUGAAAUAUAAACUGAAAUACCUUCUAUAAAUGAAUCCUCAUUUUCCAUCAACUCUGGAAAUAAGAGGAGAUAAAGGACAAAUAAUCUGUUUUUCCAGACCCAGCAAGAUGUUUACCAGAUACCAUUCCACUGAGCCAACACUGAAACUUGACAAUAUUUAUUUGCUAACUUGAAGCUAGCUGCAUCCAUAUGCUUGCCAUUUACUUCAUAUUUGUAAUGGACACGUCUCCAUGUCUUAUUUAUUUUUAUCAACAUGUUCCCCUCAAAGCCAGAGCCUCUGCAGAGUAGUUACUCAAUAAACAAUUAGUUAAAAUGUACUUUAGCAGAUUAUUAUUAUAUCUCAAAUUCUAAUAAUGAUCUGCCUGGAAUUUCAGGGUAGGUGUGAGUAAA
RNAcentral lists this long non-coding RNA (1446 nucleotides) under Homo sapiens (human). RNAcentral describes it as "HSALNT0207750". Lineage: Eukaryota; Metazoa; Chordata; Mammalia; Primates; Hominidae. The record is from RNAcentral.